CUAACAAUCACAAUAAUUAGGCCUCAGUUGCAGCAAAGCUUGGUUUAGUGCAUGUAAGGACUUACCUGCUGGAAGAUUUAUGGGAAAGAGAUUUGGCAAGUGGAGAAGAAUAGUGAGACAACUCAGGGGGAGGCUCUACAUUAUAAGGGUGUGCAUAACUAUGCUAUUGUGUUGGGAUGAAAAGUACCCUUAGAUUUUACAAGCAGGAUGAGCACUGUAAUUGUUAUAGAUUUUUCAGAAUCUGUUCAGCUUUGUGAGUAGUAUAUAUAUACUUGUUCAUAUGUUUUUAAAUGGUAAUGAAAAGUUCUGUUCAAAUGUUUCACCUGUAGUCUUAAAUGAGUGUUUCCAUUUAUUCAUUCUAUAUUAAAUUAGUUCCCCAUUUGUUUUUAUUGCAAGUUUCUUGGCUGCCAGUGAGCUUAAUGUUUCUCCCACUUUAAAUGAUGCUUGAGCAUGGUAUUGUAUUUUAUAUUGGGAUGUCAUUCUCUUCUUCAGUAUGGCAUGCAGAGAUGUUAGAUGACAUGCAUCUACGUCUUCAAGCAUGCAUGCAUGCAAAUCUUCUGAGUUCCUACUUGAGAAGCAAAAAUUAUGUCUCAGUAUUCAUUAUUUUGGACGUGCCUGCAACUUUGUAUAAAGGAAGACAACCUGAUGACUCUGCUUAUUCAUCUUUUGGUGAACAAUGGGACCCUUGCAUGCUGUCCUCAAUUCAACCCAAUGAGGGGCCAACAUCUGUUGACCACCACAUAUUUGAUAUUUCAUCAUUCACCUUAUAUAUACAAGUGCAUCUCUUCUCUACACUGAUCAUCUAAACACAAAAUCUUGACUACAUUUGUAUAUACAUUUCUCAUCUCUUGCUAGUACUAAAGAUCUCAACUAGUUCUUAUAGUACUUUCAGUUUUUCUAUCCAUGGCUGAGCAGUCAAUCUUUAGCAGAAAGCAAAGAAGGUUUUGGUCAUGGCAGAGGUGUUCGAGGUACAUCCAGGAGCAGCGUACCCGCCUCUAUAUAAUAUGGAAGUGUUCAAUACUUCUACUGCAGUGGAAUGACUUGUGACGCUUUGACCUCUGAAGGAUCAUCUAGUGCAAAAGGAGGACUGUGUAACAUACAAGAAAGCUAUGCAAAAGGAGGACUAUGUAACAGACGACAAAGCUAACUUAUAGGCGGUGCUAUAUGGAUAGUUGGGCAGCAUGAGAAAUAGGAGAGCCAAAGCCAGGAAAUCUGAAAGAUGAACUCCCAGAAAGCUUGUGAUCAUGAUGAUUUACCACAGCUGCUAUGUGAAAUUUAUGUUACUUAGCAUGAUGUAGAUGUAAUCUUUUCUGUAUACCCCUCCCCUCCUCCCUUCACUAAACUUCAGUCAGGUACCACAUGCCAAAUCUACAUGCUCGAGAUGUGCUAUGAAACGGAUCAUCUGAAAUUUCACCGUUGUUUUUAGCGCAAACGGAUCCCCUGGGCUACAGCAGUGAACACUCUAGUUUCAAACUUCAAAGCUUGUGAUAAAAUAUCCCUCAAUUCAGUAA
Non-coding RNA from Coffea arabica (coffee), 1511 nucleotides. Lineage: Eukaryota; Viridiplantae; Streptophyta; Magnoliopsida; Gentianales; Rubiaceae. The record is from RefSeq and is a predicted model, not a curated record.